GACGAACGCUGGCGGCGUGCCUAAUACAUGCAAGUCGAGCGAAAAGACCCGGCGCUUGCUGGUCUGACGUUAGCGGAGCAGGUGUGAGUCACGCGAGGAUCACCUCCCUAUAUUUGUGAUAUAUCUUUGGAACACCGGCGCUAAUCCGGGAGAAUAUAUUGCACCGCAUGGUUCAAUAGUGAAAGACGGUUUUGCUGUCACUUAUAGAUGGAUCCGCGCCGCAUUAGCUAGUUGGUGAGGUAACAGCUUUUCAAGGCGACGAUGCGUAGCCGACCUGAUAGGGUGAUCGGCCACACUGGAGCUGAGACACGGUCCAGACGCCUACGGGAGGCAGCAGUAGGGAAUCUUCCGCAGUGGGCGAAAGCCUGACGGAGCAACGCCGCGUGAGUGAUGAAGGUCUUCGGAGCGUAAAACUCGGUUAUGAGGGAAGAACAAAUGUGUAAGUAACUAUGCACGUCUUGACGGUACCUAAUCAGAAAGCCACGGCUAACUACGUG
RNAcentral lists this ribosomal RNA (497 nucleotides) under uncultured bacterium. RNAcentral's name for it is "partial 16S ribosomal RNA". It matches the Rfam family "Bacterial small subunit ribosomal RNA", at positions 28 to 507 of the family's 1533-position model. The record is from RNAcentral.